AUGAAACAACAAUGGCGGCCCCCAUGGAUGUGGUGUUUAUGCAAACUGUUUAUUAAAGAAGGUAUUGUUCUAAUGUAAUUUAUCCACAAAUGUUCUGCAUAAUCAGCAGCUGCUCUAGCGUUAGCUUCUUUUCAGUUAAU
Molecule: long non-coding RNA, 140 nt
Organism: Sphaeramia orbicularis (orbiculate cardinalfish)
Lineage: Eukaryota; Metazoa; Chordata; Actinopteri; Kurtiformes; Apogonidae
Exons: 3
Source: RefSeq, a predicted model, not a curated record